RNAcentral lists this ribosomal RNA (331 nucleotides) under Citrobacter freundii. RNAcentral's name for it is "partial 23S ribosomal RNA". It matches the Rfam family "Bacterial large subunit ribosomal RNA", at positions 911 to 1240 of the family's 2925-position model. The record is from RNAcentral. Lineage: Bacteria; Pseudomonadati; Pseudomonadota; Gammaproteobacteria; Enterobacterales; Enterobacteriaceae.
UGUUUCGGCUAGGGGGUCAUCCCGACUUACCAACCCGAUGCAAACUGCGAAUACCGAAGAAUGUUAUCACGGGAGACACACGGCGGGUGCUAACGUCCGUCGUGAAGAGGGAAACAACCCAGACCGCCAGCUAAGGUCCCAAAGUCAUGGUUAAGUGGGAAACGAUGUGGGAAGGCACAGACAGCCAGGAUGUUGGCUUAGAAGCAGCCAUCAUUUAAAGAAAGCGUAAUAGCUCACUGGUCGAGUCGGCCUGCGCGGAAGAUGUAACGGGGCUAAACCAUGCACCGAAGCUGCGGCAGCGACACUAUGUGUUGUUGGGUAGGGGAGCGUU